This 449-nucleotide ribosomal RNA is filed under the name uncultured bacterium. RNAcentral's name for it is "partial 16S ribosomal RNA". It matches the Rfam family "Bacterial small subunit ribosomal RNA", at positions 338 to 795 of the family's 1533-position model. The record is from RNAcentral.
CCUACGGGCGGCUGCAGUGGGGAAUUUUGGACAAUGGGGGCAACCCUGAUCCAGCCAUUCCGCGUGAGUGAAGAAGGCCUUCGGGUUGUAAAGCUCUUUUGUCCGGAGCGAAACGGGCGGCCCUAAUACGGUCGUCUACUGACGGUACCGGAAGAAUAAGCACCGGCUAACUACGUGCCAGCAGCCGCGGUAAUCCGUACGGUGCGAGCGUUAAUCAGAAUUGCUGGGCGGAAAUCGUGCGCAAGAUGUGAAAUCCCCGGGCUCAAGCUGGGAAUGGCAUUUGGGACUGCAAGGCUGGAGUGUGGCAGAGGGGACUAGAAUUCCUGGUGUAGCAGUGAAAUGCGUAGAUAUCAGGAGGAAUACCGAUGGCGAAGGCAGGUCCCUGGGUUAACACUGACGCUCAUGCACGAAAGCGUGGGGAGCAAACAGGAUUAGAUACCCUAGUAGUC